GUGGGGAAUCUUAGACAAUGGGGGAAACCCUGAUCUAGCCAUGCCGCGUGAGCGAUGAAGGCCUUAGGGUUGUAAAGCUCUUUCAGCUGGGAAGAUAAUGACGGUACCAGCAGAAGAAGCCCCGGCUAACUCCGUGCCAGCAGCCGCGGUAAUACGGAGGGGGCUAGCGUUGUUCGGAAUUACUGGGCGUAAAGCGCGCGUAGGCGGACCAGAAAGUUGGAGGUGAAAUCCCAGGGCUCAACCUUGGAACUGCCUUCAAAACUCCUGGUCUGGAGUUCGAGAGAGGUGAGUGGAAUUCCGAGUGUAGAGGUGAAAUUCGUAGAUAUUCGGAGGAACACCAGUGGCGAAGGCGGCUCACUGGCUCGAUACUGACGCUGAGGUGCGAAAGCGUGGGGAGCAAACAGGAUUAGAAACCCGAGUAGUCC
RNAcentral lists this ribosomal RNA (425 nucleotides) under uncultured bacterium. Its description in RNAcentral is "bacterial SSU rRNA". It matches the Rfam family "Bacterial small subunit ribosomal RNA", at positions 354 to 796 of the family's 1533-position model. The record is from RNAcentral.